GAGACCCACGCCCACAGUUGCCAGCGUACUCUCCGGAGUGACGGGUACACUGUGGGGACCGCCGCUGCUAAAGCGGAGGAAGGAAUGGGCAACGGUAGGUCAGUAUGCCCCGAAUAUCCCGGGCUACACGCGGGCUACAAUGGUUGGUACAAUGGGUAUCUACCCCGAAAGGGGAUGGAAAUCUCCUAAAGCCAAUCUUAGUCCGGAUUGAGGGCUGCAACUCGCCCUCAUGAAGCUGGAAUCCGUAGUAAUCGCGUUUCAACAGAACGCGGUGAAUAC
This 279-nucleotide ribosomal RNA is filed under the name uncultured euryarchaeote. RNAcentral's name for it is "partial 16S ribosomal RNA". It matches the Rfam family "Archaeal small subunit ribosomal RNA", at positions 1047 to 1325 of the family's 1478-position model. Lineage: Archaea; Methanobacteriati; Methanobacteriota. The record is from RNAcentral. RNAcentral also lists the same sequence under 2 other names.